RNAcentral lists this long non-coding RNA (451 nucleotides) under Ananas comosus (pineapple). RNAcentral's name for it is "long non-coding RNA (ACOM_LNC040943)". The record is from RNAcentral. Lineage: Eukaryota; Viridiplantae; Streptophyta; Magnoliopsida; Poales; Bromeliaceae.
UCGUCCAUGAAUGAAGGUCCUAGCAUAAAUCGAGAAGGAUUUGUUUGGACAAAUUGACAAAAGAGAGUAUAAUCAAGGGAAGGAGACGAAGGAAGAGGAGGAAGUAGAGCCAUUAGCUAAAAUGGAAGAAAGAAGGAGGAGAAAAUCGAUGGAAAAAUGAAGAAAUAGUGAAAAGAAAACUCCAGACAAGGAUGAAGAAGAGAAGAAGCGUAGGGAAGAAAAAAGCAAUAAAGCAUUAGAGGCAAAAGAAAGAGGGAAGAGAAGGAGAGCCGUCGGAUGGGAUUAUGAAAAAUAGCUUUAAUGGUGAAAAGAUGGUGGUAAUAAAUAACCUAAUUAAUGCCUCAAAAGAGACAAAAAAGAAACGUAAGAGAUAUUGACCGUCAAAAGUGAAAGAACGGCUAAGAAAGGAGACGGUACAAGGCAAUUCGAAAUGAAGAUUUCGAAAUUCGUA